GAGGCAAGAGAAUCACUUGAACCCAGGAGGUGGAGAUUGUAGUGAGGCAAGGUCAUGACAUUGCACUCCAGCCUGGGCAACAGAGCAAGACUCCAUCUCAAAACAAAUAAA
This is a long non-coding RNA of Sapajus apella (tufted capuchin), 111 nucleotides long. RefSeq lists it as uncharacterized. The record is from RefSeq and is a predicted model, not a curated record. The transcript is spliced from 2 exons. Lineage: Eukaryota; Metazoa; Chordata; Mammalia; Primates; Cebidae.